GGUAGAGCGCAUCCUUGGUAAGGAUGAGGUCACCAGUUCAAAUCUGGUUAUCAGCUCCA
This 59-nucleotide transfer RNA is filed under the name Clostridiales bacterium. RNAcentral's name for it is "tRNA-Leu". It matches the Rfam family "tRNA", at positions 17 to 71 of the family's 71-position model. Rfam says of the family: Transfer RNA (tRNA) molecules are approximately 80 nucleotides in length. Their secondary structure includes four short double-helical elements and three loops (D, anti-codon, and T loops). The record is from RNAcentral. Lineage: Bacteria; Bacillati; Bacillota; Clostridia; Eubacteriales.